Unclassified non-coding RNA from Panthera pardus (leopard), 329 nucleotides. Its record names the gene 7SK. It matches the Rfam family "7SK RNA". Rfam says of the family: 7SK was discovered as an abundant small nuclear RNA in the mid-70s but a possible function has only recently been suggested. Lineage: Eukaryota; Metazoa; Chordata; Mammalia; Carnivora; Felidae. The record is from Ensembl.
GGAUGUGAGGGUGAUCUGGCUGCAACACCUGUCACUCCGUUGAUCUCUAGGGUUGAUUUGGCUGGUCUGGUUGGCUAGGCAAGUGUCCCCUUCCUCCCUCACCACUCCAUGUGCGUCUACUGAAGCUGCGCGCUGGGUCGAAGAGGAUGACCUUCCCCGAUAGAGGAGGACCGUUCUUUGGUCAACGGUAUACGAGCAGCUGUGCUCCCCUGCUAGAACCUCCAAACACGCUCUCAAGGUCCAUUUGUAGGAGAACGUAGGGUAGUCAAGCUUCCAAGACUCCAGACACAGCCAAAUGAGGCGCUGCACACGGCAGUCCGACUUUCUUA